UCCUCCGCUUAUUGAUAUGCUUAAGUUCAGCGGGUAUUCCUACCUGAUCCGAGGUCAACAUUCAGAAGUUGGGGUUUUACGGCAUGGCCGCGCCGCGUUCCAGUUGCGAGGUGUUAGCUACUACGCAAUGGAGGCUGCAGCGAGACCGCCAAUGUAUUUCGGGGGCGGCACCGCCAGAAGGCAGAGCCGAUCCCCAACACCAAACCCGGGGGCUUGAGGGUUGAAAUGACGCUCGAACAGGCAUGCCCGCCGGAAUACCAGCGGGCGCAAUGUGCGUUCAAAGAUUCGAUGAUUCACUGAAUUCUGCAAUUCACAUUACUUAUCGCAUUUUGCUGCGUUCUUCAUCGAUGCCAGAACCAAGAGAUCCGUUGUUGAAAGUUUUGAUUUAUUUGUUUGUUUUACUCAGAAGUUACAAUAAGAAACAUUAGAGUUUGGGUCCUCUGGCGGGCCGUCCCGUUUUACGGGGCGCGGGCUGAUCCGCCGAGGCAACAUUAAGGUAUGUUCACAGGGGUUUGGGAGUUUUUACACUCAGUAAUGAUCCCUCCGCUGGUUCACCAACGGAGACCUUGUUACGACUUUUACUUCCUCUAAAUGACCAAG
Molecule: unclassified non-coding RNA, 600 nt
Filed under: uncultured Fusarium
Lineage: Eukaryota; Fungi; Ascomycota; Sordariomycetes; Hypocreales; Nectriaceae
Description: sequence contains 18S rRNA gene, ITS1, 5.8S rRNA gene, ITS2 and 28S rRNA gene
Source: RNAcentral